GUUUUUUCAUUCGUGUCCGAAAACUCCUUUUGAUAUCUGGUCAAACAUUCGAUGUGACAUCUAAAAAUUUUCUUUUCGCGAACUAAGGGCCUGUUUAGUUCGCGAAAAGAAAAUUUUUGGGUGUCACAUCGGACGUUUAACCGGAUGUCGGAAAAGGUUUUCAGACACGAAUAAAAAAAC
RNAcentral lists this non-coding RNA (180 nucleotides) under Oryza sativa (Asian cultivated rice). RNAcentral also lists the same sequence under 1 other name. The record is from miRBase by way of RNAcentral. Lineage: Eukaryota; Viridiplantae; Streptophyta; Magnoliopsida; Poales; Poaceae.